GACGAACGCUGGUGGCGUGCUUAACACAUGCAAGUCGAACGGAAAGGCCCUGCUUUUGUGGGGUGCUCGAGUGGCGAACGGGUGAGUAACACGUGAGUAACCUGCCCUUGACUUUGGGAUAACUUCAGGAAACUGGGGCUAAUACCGGAUAGGAGCUCCUGCUGCAUGGUGGGGGUUGGAAAGUUUCGGCGGUUGGGGAUGGACUCGCAGCUUAUCAGCUUGUUGGUGGGGUAGUGGCUUACCAAGGCUUUGACGGGUAGCCGGCCUGAGAGGGUGACCGGCCACAUUGGGACUGAGAUACGGCCCAGACUCCUACGGGAGGCAGCAGUGGGGAAUAUUGCACAAUGGGCGGAAGCCUGAUGCAGCAACGCCGCGUGCGGGAUGACGGCCUUCGGGUUGUAAACCGCUUUCGCCUGUGACGAAGCGUGAGUGACGGUAAUGGGUAAAGAAGCACCGGCUAACUACGUG
RNAcentral lists this ribosomal RNA (468 nucleotides) under uncultured bacterium. RNAcentral's name for it is "partial 16S ribosomal RNA". It matches the Rfam family "Bacterial small subunit ribosomal RNA", at positions 28 to 507 of the family's 1533-position model. The record is from RNAcentral.